This 253-nucleotide ribosomal RNA is filed under the name uncultured bacterium. Its description in RNAcentral is "partial 16S ribosomal RNA". It matches the Rfam family "Bacterial small subunit ribosomal RNA", at positions 524 to 776 of the family's 1533-position model. The record is from RNAcentral.
UACGGAGGGUGCGAGCGGUAUCCGGAAUCACUGGGUUUAAAGGGUGCGUAGGCGGCUCGGUAAGUCAGUUGUGAAAGCCCUUUGCUUAACGAGGGAGGUACGAUUGAUACUGUCGAGCUUGAAUCGGGAUGAGGCAGGCGGAAUGUGGCAUGUAGCGGUGAAAUGCAUAGAUAUGCCAUAGAACACCGAUUGCGAAGGCAGCCUGCUGGGCCUGUAUUGACGCUGAGGCACGAAAGCGUGGGGAGCAAACAGG